GCCCCGUGCCACCGUGGGGGAGGACUCACAACCUCGGGGCCUCGAGACUCCCCCAGCCACGGAUUAGAACCCCCUCCCCGGAGAGACCAGAAUACAUCAAGGUCACCCAGAGGACGCCUGGAGGAUCCCUAGGUGGUUUGCCCUGCUGGUCACUCUUAUGCCUGGAGUAGCCAAGAGCCUGAAAGUUUGAAGCAAGAGGAUGUCUGAGAGUCGGAAGCCUGGCUGGCCCGUAAGAUCCUGUCUCAAAAGUGAAAACACUCUCACACCCGGUGAGUUAGGGCUAUAGCUCAGCCCGUGAGUGGAAUGGCUGGUGCGCGUGCUUGAAGCCCUGGGUUUGACCUUCAGCCCCACAUAAAACCGGAUGACAUGGCACAGACACGGACAGGAGGACGGGAAGGACAAAGUCAUUCUAAGAACAAAGAACCCACUUAAAAACAGACACCAGCCAUCUUUAAUCCCAACACUCAGGAGGGAGAGGCAGGUGGAUCUUUAUGAGUUCGAGUCCAGCCUGGUCUACAGAGCAAGUUCCAGCGCAGCGAGGGAUACAGAGAGAAACCCUGUCUCGGACCUGCCCCACCCUGACCCCCACGCCGCCUAUUAAAGAAGUGGUAUAUACAUUGCAGGGUCUAUCAGACAGGUAGAGGUGAGGCCCGUCUUCUCUCCUCUCCGUGUGCCCAGUGUGUCCCCAUUCUCUCACAUGAAUGUGCAUACAAACACACAUGUGCACAUGCAUGAGCAAACUCAGUGGAAAAUAGGGGAACAUGCCUGCAUGCACACACAUGCAAACAUACUCAUGAAUACAAGCAUAUCACACAUACACACAUAUGCACACACACAUGUAUACAAGUACACACACACACACACACACACACAUGAGAAAAUUAGGAGGGUGUGGGAAGGGAGAGGAGGCCCCUGGAAUCUGGUUGAAGCCUCUUUCUCCAACUGAGACUGCAAGGCUCCAACACAGGCAGCGUUUGGCUGAGACUUCUCUCCUUCCAGCCCCAAACCUGUAAUUUUCUAUCAGUCUCACAUUAAAGCCCUUGGGUAAGUAACCCCAGUGGCUCCUUGUUUUACCUUGUCAGCUUAUCUUUCUGCCCAAGGUCCCUGUCCUAGAAUUCCGAUUAUCAAAGGCACCUGCUACCAAGCCUCAAAACCCAAGUUUGAGUCCCUGGGAUACAUACUGGAAGGAAAAAAAAAUUCCCACAAGUUGUCUGUCCUCUGACCUCCAAGUUAGGGUGCCGGAGCAUGCGCAAAUGUAUUCAAAUGAAUAAAUAAAUGUAAAAGAAAAAUUAAGAGGGGGGAGAAAGUUGCUUAGCAACCCUUUGAGAUGCUGAGAGCCAUCGAAAUGGUAUAUUUGUCUACUCCUAAGAUAUUUAAGUGCGACUCGUCCAUGAGGAGCCCGCAUCCAGACUCUUUGUUAUGUGUGUCAUGUGUCUUAAUUUCCCUUAAAUGAAUACCUUUCUCUCCCCCGCAGCUCCCCAUCACCCAUUUAGGCAGGGUCUACGGAGCCCUGGCUAGCCUGGAAUUAGGUUAAGCAUGCUGACCUCAAACUCACAGAGAUCCUCCUGCCCCAGCUUCCCAAGUACUGAGAUUAAAGGCAUGGGCACCACACCUGGAUCCUCUUUCAA
This is a long non-coding RNA of Apodemus sylvaticus (European woodmouse), 1628 nucleotides long. RefSeq lists it as uncharacterized. The record is from RefSeq and is a predicted model, not a curated record. Lineage: Eukaryota; Metazoa; Chordata; Mammalia; Rodentia; Muridae. The transcript has 3 exons.